This is a long non-coding RNA of Bombus pascuorum, 455 nucleotides long. RefSeq lists it as uncharacterized. NCBI's taxonomy places the organism in Eukaryota, Metazoa, Arthropoda, Insecta, Hymenoptera, Apidae. The record is from RefSeq and is a predicted model, not a curated record. The transcript is spliced from 2 exons.
CAUGUGUUCUCAUAGUGAUUAUCAAGUCGCAUUAAUCGAAAGUUGAGAAAUGAGUGAACUUUACAUGCGGCUAAUAAAAGCAUGUUCAACUAACGAGCAUUCAUUUUUUAAUUAAUCGCGAAAAUAAAUGGCACGAUUUUCAUAGUAAAGCUGUACUUUACAUUUUACAUUUUGUCAAUCACUUUAUAGACGCAAAGUCGAAACAUGGGAAUAACAUUUGAGAUUUCUCAACGUAACGACAUCGAUCGAACGUCAUGCAACCUAAUGCUUCUAGAUCUUUUCUUACGGAACAUUGUAAAGGGUAGAAUCUAUGCGAAAAAUCAAUACUUGAUCAGAUAAACUUUACCCCCUUUCAUGCUCGAUAAUAUGUACAUCGUACUUUUUAAAGUUAUUAAUUGACUAUUAAUUAACUAAAUUACUUUUGUAUUUAUUUCCGAUAAAACUAACCUCUCAAA